GUGUGUGUGUGCGCAUAUAUAUAUAUAUAUAUAUAUAUAUAUAUAUAUAUAUAUAUACACACACACACGUGUAUAUGUAUGUAUAUGUACACACACAUAUAUAUACAUACAUAUAUAUGUAU
RNAcentral lists this microRNA precursor (122 nucleotides) under Mus musculus (house mouse). RNAcentral's name for it is "predicted gene, 56103 (ENSMUSG00002075229.1)". Lineage: Eukaryota; Metazoa; Chordata; Mammalia; Rodentia; Muridae. The record is from RNAcentral.